Parus major (Great Tit) is the source of this 2634-nucleotide long non-coding RNA. RefSeq lists it as uncharacterized. The record is from RefSeq and is a predicted model, not a curated record. NCBI's taxonomy places the organism in Eukaryota, Metazoa, Chordata, Aves, Passeriformes, Paridae. The transcript is spliced from 3 exons.
CUGAGGGACACGCAGCCCUGAGGGGCGAGGGAACGCGGGGUAUCACAGGCCAAAGGGUGGAGGCGUCGUGAGGGAGAACCAGCCCUGGGCGCUGAAGGGGACACACCAUCCCGAAGCACAGCGGAUGAGUGGAACACGGGACAGCGCCUCGAGGAGGGCUCAGCGCUGAGGAGCGGAGGGAGAUUGAGGAGGCAAGAAUACUGAGAUGCCCCACAAUACUGCAGGUGCUUCUGAGAUACUGAAUCAGUGCAGCUGGGGACACCACAGACUUCUCUCACCUUCAUCCUGCCACCAGGGAAGGAUAUGUCCUUGACACAAGGAGGCUGGCAGGCCUCUCAGAAGUUACUCAGGUGGCUCUGCUGUCUGACAGGGGAGAGCAGAACAAGAGGAUGACACAGUGACACAGGUAAGUAAUCACACAGGCAAACAACAAAGUUUGUUGGCAGUUCACUGAAGGGAGAGGCUAUCUACCUGACUGCAUUCAGGUAUCUCUUCCCAAGGAAAGCACGGCAGCCAAAAUGGGAAGGGAAUUGUAAGUUGCUAUUAUAAGUGCCCACACAAAGACUGCUACAUACCCUGAUGCUCCACAUACACCUUUUGGAAUUAAAAACCCUUCAACAGGCAAAGCUAGGAUUGUGUCCUAGUCUGUUCUUAGGCAAGUAGUCCCAGCUUUGCAGUGACAUUCCUGACAAAAUAAAUUGUGCUUUGCUGUUAGGGAGGAGAAAAUGUCUGAAUUGUAGCAAGUCUAAGAGACAAUUCUAGCUGCAUGUAUUGAUUAGGAGUGAACAUGUGGGUUGGUAACUUCUAUCCAGAUGUAAGAAGGGAAGAGUCAUGGAAUUCUAUCCUUGUAGAGCUAAAGGAGCAGUAUUUCACAAAGAUUAUAACUCUGGAUAACAAAAAUAAAAAAGAUAAAAUCAUGUAUUACUCUCAUAUAGUUGUCUUCCCCAGUGCAAGCUACAUUUUGACUGCCACAUCUCAAAUUUUUUAAGAUGCUUGCUGUUAGCUCACAUGUGAAGGCUGUAUGUGUGCAUCCUGGCAUGCACUCCUGCAAACCAUUCCCCUGCUGAGAACUUCACAGGACUUUGGAGCGCAGACCAAACAGCUUUGCAGUACCUGACCUCACUGCACAGAGAAUCCUGUACAUACUGCAAAGUUACUUCUUGUGCAGGAUGGUGGUGAGCCUAUGUAGUAGCUGAUUGGACAUGAGUGGGUGAUCUAAUAAAGAUACUCAACGGUGUUGUGCUUAGAAGCACUUAUUGAAAGAACUGUAUUAACCAAGGUAAGAAAAAUCACAUUAUGUUCUGGCAUUGGGAGUCAGAAACUUCAGUCUUGGUGUCAGGCUUAGCUGCCUGCACCAGCUUGAACAGAAAGGGGUAAGGGUAGGGUCAGAAUUUUUUGAGGUGUCUGGAUGAUGGAGUGACUAAAGAAUUUUGCCUGGUAUUAUAGGUUGUAAGUUAAUAGAACCUUCUAGAAUCUCCAAUCUCUUACCACCUAGAUAGAAACUAUUUCUGUGCAGUUUUCAGUGGCCUGCUGACCCCCAGAGGGAUUCCUGGCUCCACAUCUUGGACGUGUCAGCUUUCCUAUUUUCCUUUGGAGACAGGAGUUACCCAAGGUGGGCUGGGUGGAAGAGUAAAGCUGCCUCCCAUGAUUGCAAAGGAAGAAUCCCAGCAGUGCCAGUGCAAGGGGCAUAUGCUGCUUUUUCUGCCUCAGAUCCCAGAUGAGAAGAACUGGGUAAGAGUUUCUGAGUUGUGGGAGGUGAGCUGAGGCAGAGUUGGCCCAGAAAACAGACUUGAGAAUCAGUUGUCUCUGCAGUUCUGGUGGGUGGUGAUGCUUUGCAAACCUUCAAAGCUCAGGCAAUCAGUUCCAGAUGCUGAACUCAGGGCUCGGCUCUAGCGAGGGACUCUGACCUGCUCCUGAAGCUGAAUGGCGCUGACUGCUGUCCGUCCUUAACCGAGACCGCGCUCAUGGUCCCGGCCUCGUUCCCUGCAGGCUCGCAGGUCUGUGGGCUGGGCGGCAGAGGGCACUCCAAAACAAGCCACCGUGCCUGGGACACAGGACAGAGCAACUGAGCAGACACAAAUCUGCCGUUCCUGUAAAGCGGGCAAAUCUGGCAGGGAAAACCUUGCCGUGACCUUUACUUGUGACAUCUGUCACGGCACACACUGAGUGCGAGAGCUAGCGACUACCUGAAUAUCAGAUAUGAAAUUGCUCAAGAGCCUGGCCGUUUGUAUUCCAGCAUAUUGUGCUGGGGAGCUUCUUGACCUUCCAAGGGACAAAAAGGAAAUGCAUUUUGCUGGCUCUGCAUUGUUGUGUCAGGUGAAGCCUUUAAAUAUAUGAGUGUCCUCUGAUAUAGCAAGCAUGCAGAAAUCCAUGGUACAUUUACCAAAAACCCAGAGGUUUAUUGUGGUAGCUCUCCUUGUUAUCACACUGUAUUGGAUGAGCAGCAGCUGUAAUCAGCUCCCGAGGUGGCUACAUUUGUAUUGCUGUGCAUGAAUAUUUUUGGAAAGCUUGUUUGGGGUGAAAGGUACUCUAUAUGCAGGUUGUGAUGUAGGUUAUCUGCUAUUUUUAAGAUUGUGUACUUUGUAAAAAUUACAGCAUGCCCCACAUAACAGUAGCUGAGCAUUCUCUCUUACC